Molecule: ribosomal RNA, 445 nt
Filed under: uncultured bacterium
Lineage: Bacteria
Description: bacterial SSU rRNA
Rfam family: Bacterial small subunit ribosomal RNA
Source: RNAcentral
AACGAACGCUAGCGGCAGGCUUAACACAUGCAAGUCGAACGAGAAAUUUACCUUCGGGAAAAUGGACAGUGGCAGACGGGUGAGUAACGCGUGGGAACCUACCUGAUGGUACGGAAUAACUCAGGGGAAACUUGAGCUAAUACCGUAUGUGCCUUCGGGGGAAAGAUUUAUCGCCAUCAGAUGGGCCCGCGUCAGAUUAGCUAGUUGGUGAGGUAACGGCUCACCAAGGCGACGAUCUGUAGCUGGUCUGAGAGGAUGAUCAGCCACACUGGGACUGAGACACGGCCCAGACUCCUACGGGAGGCAGCAGUGGGGAAUAUUGCACAAUGGGCGCAAGCCUGAUGCAGCCAUGCCGCGUGAGUGAUGAAGGCCUUAGGGUUGUAAAGCUCUUUCACCGAUGAAGAUAAUGACGGUAAUCGGAGAAGAAGCCCCGGCUAACUUCGUG